AUGGCCAGAACCUUGGCGAUAUAGGGGAUCAGCGGCAGGUUCAGGAUCAACAGCACAAGGUUGCCGAUGAACAUGGAGAUGAUGACAGCCCAGAAUACCUCUGGCGUGUCCGUCAUCAGGCGCGGGCC
RNAcentral lists this non-coding RNA (128 nucleotides) under Rubricella aquisinus. RNAcentral's name for it is "Ruegeria cis8 sRNA". It matches the Rfam family "Ruegeria cis8 sRNA". From Rfam's summary of the family: Cis-encoded. Targets hypothetical protein. The record is from Rfam by way of RNAcentral. Lineage: Bacteria; Pseudomonadati; Pseudomonadota; Alphaproteobacteria; Rhodobacterales; Paracoccaceae.